GAUAAAGUUGCACUUUAAAGAGUGGUAAGUGAAGAAUUACUGUAGAUUGGAAAUAGACAAGUGCAAAGAGACAGCUAAUUCCAAAUCUGACUUCCACAUAUUUUUAAUCCGUCUGGAGCAGGUGGAACGUCAAUCUGGAUCAGGUGUAAUGACACUACCACUGCGCCACAAGAACUCCUCAGAUUAUACUUUCAAUGUCAAAUAAUUGAAUCAAUUACUAAGAGGAGGAUUAUCCGUCUCAGAUGAGACAAUUGAAUGUCAUUCAUUCAGUUUGAAAUAGAUUGCGAGCUGUGAUACUGUUUAAUGUACAAUUUAGGCUUAUUACCAAAUAAACAGUUCAUUGAAGUGACCUCAAUCUUUUUAAAUUUGAGUGAAACCAUUUUGUUUUAAGUUAGUGCUAUUAACUUCAACCUAUUCCUUCAUCCAUUCCAUGAAGACAGAAUGCACAUCAAAAAUGCGAAGUUUAACAGGCUACUUUAGCUGAUGCUUACAGGAGUUUGCAGACUCUGGUUCUGAUUUCCUGGAACUUUUCUGGAAGAAGAUUAUAGACUCUAGCUUAUUCAGUUGUUGAUGUCACAUGGCCCACCUGAAAAUCACUGUCCAUUGAAGGUUUCAUGCGUGGCCGUGGAAGCUGGUCUGAAGCUUGCAACUAACUCCAGUUUCAGAUGGGAACUUCAGGCUGUGACAAUAGCCUGUUAGUACCUAGCAAAGCAGUUCAGUGGUCAAAGAUCUAAGGAAUCUGUCAUCCAGGAAGCAUGCAAUGGAACAGCAGAAAUAAACAACACUGGGCAGCCUGACAGAAUGGCAUCGAGAACAUUGAUGGACACUGCAUGCUCCUUCUCCAUGAACACCCUGGCAGAAACAUAACUGUGGAGGAGGUAUAGACAGUUAUUGGAAAUGACCACUCCCACAGCCCGCUGCCUGGAUUUGUUUAUAGCCAACCCGGCCAGGCCCAGGAACUGACCCAAGAGCAAGUCCUCCGACCUCAAUCUCUGUUGUAUAUCAGUUGCCACCUGAUGACAUUUCAGAUUAUUUCUAUUGCCAUCACAGGAGUGUGCUAUAAUGUGAUUGUGGGCAAAUGAUAUGCAAGUAUUGAGAGUUUUUUUUUUCUGAAUAGACAAGUGUCAUAACUGCCCUUCAUCUGCUACCACACUCAGAUCAGCUGCUUUUUUGGAGAAAAUUAGACAACAGAUGGCAAUCCACUCUCUAAAUUAAAUAUAUUAGUUUUUAAGUGCUGUAAUCUUUCAAUUAUGUUUCUUCAGAUUUUGAAAAUAACACCUGAUUCCCAGAAGUAUGUCUGAUGCACAAUUUUGACAAAAUAUUACAUGACAGGUGUGUGGGUGUUAUAAGGAAGAAGGUCAGCGUUGUUUAAGUGAAACAAUAAAACAUGAUCUCUUACCUUUAUUUCUUCCAGCCUGUAUUGCCAAAAUGAUGAAUUAGUUUUUAAUUAACUUUGUCUUGUAUGGGUUAUAUUUUUCUGAUUACUUUACAAUUGAAGGUUUUUCAAAGGAAUGUUUUCUCUAUCAAUCACAACAACCUGGAUACAUUCAAUUUUUAUAGAUGCACUAUAGAAAGCAUUCUGUCUGGAUGCAUCAUGGCUUAUUAGGGCACCUGCUCUUCCCAGGACUGUAGUAAAUUACAGAGAGUUGAGAACACAGCCCAGUCCAUCACGCAAGCCAACCUUCCAUCCAGUGACUCCAUCUAUACCUCUGUUGCCUUGGAAGGACAUCAACUUAAUCCCACCCUGGUUAUAAUCUCUUCUAACCUCUUCCAUCGAACAAAACCUUAACACACAUAUACAACAGAUUCAAGAGCAGCUUUUUCCCCAUUGUUAAUAGACUUUUGAAUGAACCUUUCAAAUUUGAAAUUUAAUAUUGAUCUUGGUCUUUGUGCCCCUUCUCUACAGCUGUAACAUUGCAUUCUUUGCUCUGUUCUAGUACCCUAUUACAUGUAGUCUGGUACGAUCUGUCUGUACUAUAUGCAAAGCAAAACUCUUCACUGUACUAGAUACACGUGACAAUAAUAAAUCAAAUCAAAUCAAACAUUCUUCUCAAUAUGGAAAAGAAAAUCGAUAAAAUGUACAACCAGUUUCCAAUUUACAAUCACCCAAUUCUGCCCAAGAUGAACUUUAGCCUCAGUAUCAUUUUCCAUAGCAACCCUAUUUAAGAUGGCUCCUGUUGACCAAGCAUCUAACUUUCAUAAGCGAGGAGCACAUAGAAUUCUUUGUUGCUAUGAUCUUACAUUACACAAAGGUCAGCAGGGCAGUUCAGGCUUUUUGAGAUCUCAGUGGUGACUGUUUGAAAACAAAGCCAUUCAGAACGUCCUAGUGUGCAAAGCAGUUAUGGCCACCACAUUCCUGUAAUUGCAGUGAGAUCUGGACUGUCUUUCAGGGACACAUAAAAGUGCCAGAGAAAUUUCAUCAGCAAUACAUCUUCUACAUCCUCCAAAUUCACUGGGAGGACCAUUGAACCAACACUAGUGCCUUUUUUGAAGUCAGUCGUACAAAUAUUCAGGCAAAACUGAAAAACCAUGAUGGACUAGGCACUGUGUCCUAAUGGUCAGAAACUGCCUUCCCCGCCUGGUGCUCUUCCCCAGCUCUCAAAUGUUGAGCUUUCCAGAGGAAUGUAAAGACAAUGAUGUUCUGAAGCACACCAUGAUGCAUGAUAAUAAGUACCUCGAUGACUGGGAGGAGCUUGCAACUAGUCAUUCAGACUGGUGACAAGUUGUCCAACAAGCUUCAUCUCACUUUGAGUCACAAGAUUCUGCAUUCAGGAUGCCACUGCUGGAUGAUGACUAGCUUCCUGUAUAUUGUUAGAUUGCAUAUUGUUGGAACAGCUGUGUGCAUUGUUCAUGCAAAGUGUAUGAGUUCUGUGUACAAUUGCUCUCUGUAAGUUAGAUUUAUUGCCAUCAUCUUCUUUUGGGGUAGGGCUAUGAGGCCUACUUAGACUAGCAUGUUAGAGGAAGACCACUUGGUUAUGUGAUGUAAGGCUUGUCGUUUAUAUAUAUUUUAAUGUAACUUAUUCCAGAUUUUGGACUAGAAGUUCCAGAUCAGAAGUGUUGGGUUAGAACCUUGAAGGUGCUGCAAGUUCUAAACAUCUAAACUCAGUUAUAUGACUAAUCAACUUCCAAACUCUCAAGACCAUGAAUAGAAAGAUACAGUUAAUUUAAAUCUAUAGAUGAGAUAGAGAAGCAAACUCUGUCUAAUGUUUGAGUAAUGUAAAGUGAGGGUGUUGGGAUAGGUAGGAUUGUAUGUUACUAUAUGUUUCAAAAUCUUUCAAAUUGUGUUAUGUGUAAAUAGCUGGUUUAUACUAUUGUAUCUUUUCUUUUGUAUGAUAAUUCUUAAAAGCAAAUCUUAGCAUUGCGUUUCAGUGAAAGACCACCUUGUUACAUUAAAAAAAACAAUAAUCUAGCCUGCUUUUAGUUUUGAGUCUUUCAAUUUUAAAAAAAAUUUAAAAAAACUUAUUUCUAGUGAGGAUUUUCGUCUGGGAUCAGAUUUAUCCAUUCAUAACACCAGCUUGGAUCAUUAAAAUCAGUAGCUUUUGAGGGAUUUGAAUGAACUGGAUUUAAGAGUGAUCUGUGUCUCUAAGUUAAUGUGGUGGUACCAGAACUAAAGCAGUUGAGUUGUGGGGAGAUUUAUUGCAUGGGAUUUUAAGAUAGCUUUGAACGUUGCUCUGAGUUUUCUGGAAAUGGAAAAUAUAGCAGUGAACUUUUUGACUAAAGCUAAAUAAAGAAAUAAAAGACUGAUAAUAGUGAUGUACAGAAACAAACAUGCUUCCCUUGUCAUAAUAUCAAACAUACU
Chiloscyllium plagiosum (whitespotted bambooshark) is the source of this 3799-nucleotide non-coding RNA. NCBI's taxonomy places the organism in Eukaryota, Metazoa, Chordata, Chondrichthyes, Orectolobiformes, Hemiscylliidae. The record is from RefSeq and is a predicted model, not a curated record.